This is a long non-coding RNA of Pteropus alecto (black flying fox), 670 nucleotides long. RefSeq lists it as uncharacterized. NCBI's taxonomy places the organism in Eukaryota, Metazoa, Chordata, Mammalia, Chiroptera, Pteropodidae. The record is from RefSeq and is a predicted model, not a curated record. The transcript is spliced from 2 exons.
UUUGCAAGCAGGAGCCAAUCACAGCUGAGAGGUUCGGAUUUCAGCUCCUCCCUCUGGGACAGCUGUGAGCAGAGGAAGAAUCUGUUGUCAGACUAAAUUAUUCUGGUUCAAAAUGGACUGUUCUUCGGGAUUUCACUGGAGAGGGGAAAAAUUGCUUAAGCAUUUUCAAGGAGGUGCUGGAAGAAGAGAGUGAAAAAGAAAGUAACAGUGGUUAAGUCAAGACUUGUAAGAGGAAAGAGCAUCGUCAGACGGAUGGCCUAACUUCUUCAUCUUGGGAUGAGAAAAAAAGCUUGUGUGUUGGGGUUAGGGAGUGGGGUGCUUACAGGUUUCCUGAGCUAAUUUCAAUGAUUCUUUUGUUGCUCUUACUACAGUCACUAAUUUAAAUAUUAGAGAAGGGAAUUUAGAUGAAUCUUAACGUUAAAAAGAACAGUAUCUCUAGAAGACUGGAAAAUAUAAACAUGCAUUAGAUUCCUCCACUAAUGUGUAAACUGGAGUGUAAUUUGGAGCAAGUUUUCUGAGCCUUGUACUUUUCAUGAGAGUAUGUUCAGAUCUAGGCACCUGGUUUAUUGAAAUAGGAGUCCUCCUUGCCCUUACCACCCAACUUUCUGCAAAAGGCACAUUUUGUUAGAGACAUAAUAUAGUUGAGAAAUAUAAUAUAGUUCGGAAAACA